AAUCAAGAUCAAUGAAUGGUAUUAUAGAGAAACUGUAGUAGUGUGGGGUUGGCCUAGAAAUGACAUGAAAGACACACUAUCUAGUGAGACUGUACUGUCUGUACUGUCACACAUACACAUAAAUCUCUCCCUCCACACAGGUAUGGUUCAUAGCCUACAGUGUCUCUUCUAUUACCCUGAUGCCACCAACACCCUGGAGAAUGUUUCAGUGAUUGAAGCAUAUGCCACCCUUCUACCCUUUCUUACCCAGAAUUUUGUGAUGUAAACCUUCCUCUCGUGGAGGGGCUUGCUUUUGGGGGGGAUGUUGUGGGAAAUAUUUAAAAAUGACAACAUCCUGCACUAUAUCCAGCUACUCUCUACUUUAGGGGCCUCAAUCUCACAGCCUCCCUCAGCCAUCUACCCCCUGUAGCUAAUUGUCACAAAUCCCCUUAACCCAGUGAAUCAAAACUCUAGAAGCUUAUAGUUUCAGUCAGUCAGAUUUAUUUAUCGAUAAAAUCUCACCCCACAAAAAAAUCCACACAAUUUACUCUGAGCCAAUUGAUAUUGAUAUAAAAUGCCCACCUGGGUAAGGCAAAUUGUUCUAUAAUUAUCCAUUCCUUAUAAACAUUCAUAGCUACCUAUGACUACCUGUGGUUACCUGUGGGGAGAAGGUUCACAGGUUCACCUGUGUACAUGAUUCACUCCUUGUCUGCAACCCCUCGUGGGAAAGCAGCAUUAGCAUCAAAAUACAAGCAACACCAGGGCUAUCCACAACAGGGGAAUUAUUGUCAUCAGACAUUCUAGCUCAUGUCUAGGGAAAUGCUGGGAAAUUGGUUAAUUGUACAGUAAAACUACAAGUUGUAUUCAUCCACAGGCUCAGAGAUGCAUAUGAUCAGCACUAUUAUUGAUCUGCUGACAGAGGCAGCACACAAAAAGGGAACAGCUAGUGCUGGAGAACUGGGAUAGGGUCUGGAGCAAGAAGUAGAAAGAGUCAAGAUAGUGUUAUAGGUUGAAUUGUGUAUUCCUUACUUCUUAUAGAACAUAGAUGUGAGUGUGACCUUUUGGAGAAAGAGUUUUGCAGAUGAAAUUAAAUUAAGAAGAGAUUGUGGGCCAGGCGGUGGUGAUACACACCUUUAACCCCAACACUCGGGAGGCAGAGUUAGGUGGGUUUCUGAGUUUGAGACCAGCCUGGCCUACAAAGUGAGUUCCAGGACAACCAGGGCUACACAGAGAAACCCUGUCUCAAAAAAACAAGAAGAGAUUGUGCUUGAUCAAGGUGAGCCCUGUCCAGUAUGACUGAUGCCUUUAUCAGAAAGGAAAAUAGUGACAUAGAUACAAAGAAGUGGGCAUGUUGGGAUGGAAAGGACAGUGGGUUAAUAGAUCUUGUAGCCCAGGGACUUUAGAGACUACU
Molecule: long non-coding RNA, 1390 nt
Filed under: Mus musculus (house mouse)
Lineage: Eukaryota; Metazoa; Chordata; Mammalia; Rodentia; Muridae
Description: long non-coding RNA chr2:14698212-14699602
Source: RNAcentral